GGCACCCUUUUCUCCGCAGCCCCCCCGGCUGUCCUACUACCCAAGGAAAGCCGAGAAGGGAGACGGGGCCGGGCGCCACCGGCAGUCGCUACCGCCGGCACCUAGCCCGGCCCCGACAGGCGCCGGCCCAUCCCGUCCGCCCGCGUUUGCUGCAGCGCUCGCCCGCCGCUGCUGUGACGGCCCGCGUUUGACGGGCUGUUCUGUCCUCUGUCUAGCGAAACGCCCAGCAUGUGGCUCGGGCAGCAGCAGAAACGGAUGGGGGAAAUAGGGUACAGCUUUGGCCCAGUUAAGAGUUUUGAUCAUUUUUUGUGAACAACUGCUUCAAGAUUAAUGUAACCAGCCUGAUGAAUUCUUCUCAAUGGGUGGGCACAUUCAGAAAGCUCAGGAAGAGGCCUGGAAUCACAAGAAGUCUCAGAACAGAGGGCACAGGUGAACUGAGAGCUGCAUUCCCACUCACAGCAUACUCUUCCUACCCCAGGAGAAUUCAAUUGGACCUCAUCUCCAGGAGACUUUCAGGUCCCACCCUCACCCAGGGAUUACUAGGUGCCUUAACCAGGUGAGCUCUCAGGAACCAGGUCACUGUGCACAUAAGGAUGAGCCCCGGACCACACUGGCUGGGUUGGCACAGCACAGUAGGUCUAACUGCAGGUGCUUCGCCUGAUGGUUUGGGAACUGGAGUGAGAGAAAAAAGUGUCUUGUGGACUGAGGUCUUGUGUGAGUGUGUGCUCUGGGGUGACUUUGUGAUGCUGAAUUGUAUCUCCAUUCAUCUGUUUAGCCCAGAAAUAAGUUUUGCACCUUUAAGACUGGUUCCAAGUGAAGGCGGGGAGAGAAGAAGCGCAGAGUUUUUUAUCAGGGACUGCAUUUGCUCCCCCACACCCUGCUCCUGGACUGUGUUGUCUGCAGCACGGACAGAUAGCAGGAGAGGGCUUUCCUUUGCUUUUUUGUUAGGUUUUAGCGAGUUGAGGCAGAGAGGUUCCCUGGACUGUGGUUUUUCUUUUUCUUGGAACUGUUUGAACCUGCUCUGGACUGAACACCCAGAAGAACACCAGCAGCUCACACCUGUGGCCCACCAGGCCAGGCCUGGGCCGUGGCAUUUCCAGCGCUGGAGGUACUGGUAACAGACUAGGUGAACCGAGCUACAGCCCACCAAGGAGACUUUCUGAGUUUUUAAUCUCUUCGGAGUGGCAAGAGGUUUCAUUGUUUAAUAUUGUUAAUUUUUUGUGCUGGUGAAUGCUUUGCCUGUUAAAUAAAGUUUUUUUCCACUUUC
Molecule: long non-coding RNA, 1267 nt
Organism: Vidua chalybeata
Lineage: Eukaryota; Metazoa; Chordata; Aves; Passeriformes; Viduidae
Exons: 2
Source: RefSeq, a predicted model, not a curated record